Molecule: ribosomal RNA, 403 nt
Filed under: Verrucomicrobiota bacterium
Lineage: Bacteria; Pseudomonadati; Verrucomicrobiota
Description: Verrucomicrobia bacterium partial 16S ribosomal RNA
Rfam family: Bacterial small subunit ribosomal RNA
Source: RNAcentral
UGGGGAAUAUUGCACAAUGGGGGAAACCCUGAUGCAGCGACGCCGCGUGAGCGAUGAAGGCCUUCGGGUUGUAAAAAUCUUUUGUAUGGGAAGAAAAUGACAGUACCAUACGAAUAAGGACCGGCUAAUUACGUGCCAGCAGCCGCGGUAAUACGUAAGGUCCGAGCGUUAUCCGGAUUCAUUGGGCGUAAAGCGCGCGCAGGCGGCUCUUCAAGCGGAACCUCUAACCCCGGGGCUCAACCUCGGGCCGGGUUCCGAACUGGAGGGCUCGAGUGCGGUAGAGGCAGGCGGAAUUCCCGGUGUAGCGGUGGAAUGCGCAGAUAUCGGGAAGAAAACCGAUGGCGAAGGCAGCCUGCUGGGCCGGCACUGACGCUGAGGCGCGAAAGCUAGGGGAGCGAACAGG